CUGAUUGAGAUUUUAACACGAAGUGAGUGGCGAACGGGUGAGUAACACGUGGGUAACCUGCCCAGAAGUAGGGGAUAACACCUGGAAACAGAUGCUAAUACCGUAUAACAGAGAAAACCGCAUGGUUUUCUUUUAAAAGAUGGCUCUGCUAUCACUUCUGGAUGGACCCGCGGCGUAUUAGCUAGUUGGUGAGGUAAAGGCUCACCAAGGCAGUGAUACGUAGCCGACCUGAGAGGGUAAUCGGCCACAUUGGGACUGAGACACGGCCCAGACUCCUACGGGAGGCAGCAGUAGGGAAUCUUCCACAAUGGACGCAAGUCUGAUGGAGCAACGCCGCGUGAGUGAAGAAGGGUUUCGGCUCGUAAAGCUCUGUUGUUAAAGAAGAACGUGGGUAAGAGUAACUGUUUACCCAGUGACGGUAUUUAACCAGAAAGCCACGGCUAACUACGUGCCAGCAGCCGCGGUAAUACGUAGGUGGCAAGCGUUAUCCGGAUUUAUUGGGCGUAAAGCGAGCGCAGGCGGUCUUUUAAGUCUAAUGUGAAAGCCUUCGGCUCAACCGAAGAAGUGCAUUGGAAACUGGGAGACUUGAGUGCAGAAGAGGACAGUGGAACUCCAUGUGUAGCGGUGAAAUGCGUAGAUAUAUGGAAGAACACCAGUGGCGAAGGCGGCUGUCUGGUCUGCAACUGACGCUGAGGCUCGAAAGCAUGGGUAGCGAACAGGAUUAGAUACCCUGGUAGUCCAUGCCGUAAACGAUGAUUACUAAGUGUUGGAGGGUUUCCGCCCUUCAGUGCUGCAGCUAACGCAUUAAGUAAUCCGCCUGGGGAGUACGACCGCAAGGUUGAAACUCAAAGAAUUGACGGGGGCCCGCACAAGCGGUGGAGCAUGUGGUUUAAUUCGAAGCUACGCGAAGAACCUUACCAGGUCUUGACAUCUUCUGACAGUCUAAGAGAUUAGAGGUUCCCUUCGGGGACAGAAUG
Molecule: ribosomal RNA, 977 nt
Filed under: Pediococcus pentosaceus
Lineage: Bacteria; Bacillati; Bacillota; Bacilli; Lactobacillales; Lactobacillaceae
Description: bacterial SSU rRNA
Rfam family: Bacterial small subunit ribosomal RNA
Source: RNAcentral